Molecule: ribosomal RNA, 532 nt
Filed under: uncultured bacterium
Lineage: Bacteria
Description: bacterial SSU rRNA
Rfam family: Bacterial small subunit ribosomal RNA
Source: RNAcentral
AAUAGAUACCCGGGUAGUCCACGCCGUAAACGAUGAGUGCUAAGUGUUAGAGGGUUUCCGCCCUUUAGUGCUGCAGCUAACGCAUUAAGCACUCCGCCUGGGGAGUACGGUCGCAAGACUGAAACUCAAAGGAAUUGACGGGGGCCCGCACAAGCGGUGGAGCAUGUGGUUUAAUUCGAAGCAACGCGAAGAACCUUACCAGGUCUUGACAUCCCACUGACCGGUAUAGAGAUAUACCUUUCCCUUCGGGGACAGUGGUGACAGGUGGUGCAUGGUUGUCGUCAGCUCGUGUCGUGAGAUGUUGGGUUAAGUCCCGCAACGAGCGCAACCCUUAAUCUUAGUUGCCAGCAUUUAGUUGGGCACUCUAAGGUGACUGCCGGUGACAAACCGGAGGAAGGUGGGGAUGACGUCAAAUCAUCAUGCCCCUUAUGACCUGGGCUACACACGUGCUACAAUGGAUGGUACAAAGGGCUGCAAGACUGCGAAGUCAAGCCAAUCCCAUAAAACCAUUCUCAGUUCGGAUUGCAGGCUG